Molecule: RNase P RNA, 323 nt
Filed under: human gut metagenome
Description: Bacterial RNase P class B
Rfam family: Bacterial RNase P class B
About the family: Ribonuclease P (RNase P) is a ubiquitous endoribonuclease, found in archaea, bacteria and eukarya as well as chloroplasts and mitochondria. Its best characterised activity is the generation of mature 5'-ends of tRNAs by cleaving the 5'-leader elements of precursor-tRNAs. Cellular RNase Ps are ribonucleoproteins.
Source: RNAcentral
UAGAUGGUCGCUGCAAAAUUUAUUUUGUAGAGGAAAGUCCAUGCUCGCAUAAGCUGAGAUGCUUAUAGUGUUUGUGCUAAAGGAAAAAAUAACUUUAGGCUGGAAACAGACGGCGAGGUCAAUCCUAAAGCUUACUAUGGAAAGAUCUUGUAAAGUGCCACAGAGACGAGUUUGCUGGAAACAGUAAAAUGAAACGCGGUAAACCCCUCAAGCGAGAAACUCAAAUUUGGUAGAGGAACUAUAGAAGAAGAAAUGAAUUCUAAUAUAGAUGUUAAAAACAUAGAUAAAUGACCAUCCUCGAAAGAGACAGAACAUGGCUUAUU